CGUAGCGAAAGCUACGCUAAUACCGCAUACGUCCUGAGGGAGAAAGCGGGGGAUCUUCGGACCUCGCGCGAUUGGAGCGGCCGAUGUCGGAUUAGCUAGUAGGUGGGGUAAAGGCCCACCUAGGCGACGAUCCGUAGCGGGUCUGAGAGGAUGAUCCGCCACACUGGGACUGAGACACGGCCCAGACUCCUACGGGAGGCAGCAGUGGGGAAUUUUGGACAAUGGGCGCAAGCCUGAUCCAGCCAUGCCGCGUGAGUGAAGAAGGCCUUCGGGUUGUAAAGCUCUUUCGGCCGGGAAGAAAUCGUGGUCUCUAACAUAGGCCAUGGAUGACGGUACCGGACUAAGAAGCACCGGCUAACUACGUG
RNAcentral lists this ribosomal RNA (365 nucleotides) under uncultured bacterium. RNAcentral's name for it is "bacterial SSU rRNA". It matches the Rfam family "Bacterial small subunit ribosomal RNA", at positions 147 to 507 of the family's 1533-position model. The record is from RNAcentral.